UAGACCUUACUCUUAUUGCUUCAUCAAUAAAUAAGAUUAAUAAUUAAUGAAAAUUCGGAUCAAUUUAUAUAAAAGUCAUCUCCAACAUUACAACACAGCAUCUCGGACAGUUGUUAAUGGGCUGGUAAUUCAUAUGAAAUAAUUAAGUGAAAAACUGUAUCCGAAAUGUGUUCAUACAGCACAAUGAGGAGAUUAUUUUUUAUAUUGCUCCAACUGACAGGUAUUUAUUCAACCCAGGAAGUCAGUUUGGAGAACGACAUCACGAAACAUAUAAACAAGUGGGUGACCACCAUAUUUACAAGCACAAUUGGUGGCAAAAAUGCAGUUGCAACGAUUUCCGCAAUACACGAAACUGAAUUGAUGGAAUUCGAAUACAAUAUCAUCAUCAGCAAUCAAGUCCAUACAAAAUGCACCUUCCAAGACAUUGUUUAUCCCAAUUCUUCUCCUCGGAAGUGGUGUUAUGGAAUACAAAUCGAAUGGAACUCUUCUGAAAGUAAAAUUAGGGCAUUCUUUCAAGUACUCCCCUUUUGUAUGAACGUGCUGAUACAGACUGGUGAGGACAACUAUGAAAAAUCUUCACAAGUUCCUAUAACCGCAACAUUCCUAAACGCUACAUCAACUGCUUCGAGAUCGUACACCAGACAUAAUGGUUUAAAAAUCACGUACGAUUUUACCUACAGUACUGUCGCCUAUUGGAGAGACGAUAUCGGCGGACCUUUUCUAAAACUGACUGCUGAGGAAGCUGAGGAAAAAAACCAGCUAGAUCGAGUGAUAUUACCAAUUUUACCAACCAUUCUACGAGAACGAGUAAGUACCAAUCAAAAAACCAUUCGGGAACUCGACGACGUUUUCCAAGAGUACGAGAAGCCUAGACAAGAAAUAAUUUCAAUACAUCCGGAUUUCUUGAACAACUCGCAAAAGUAUUACUACCUCAUACCUGAAAUUCCUUUUUUCUGCUUCGUUCUAAAACGUAUCGUUAUCCAUGGGCUAUCGAAUUUCGAAUCAUAUAAAACUCACAGGAGGCUCGAAGGGGAGCCUGAAAUUUUCACACACACAUUGCUCAUAAGAAAUAUUCGAGGAAGUAUGACUUUGGAUUAUAGAUCUGAACAAGAAAAAGCUUUAAAAUUGAAUUUCCAAAUAGAUUGCUUCAACGUAACGAAAAAGGAUGAUACAGGUUGCGUUUACGGUCUGGCGAAAGAUUACACCAUUACUCGAGCAAAUACGAACGUUUCGUUGAGUAGCCUUCAGUCAGAGGUGAUUAUGAAUCGACUGGAAUCAGCCCUUGCUUCUGCAUUAUUGGGACUACCAUCGAAGAAGUGUGGACAAAUCGGUGACUUGGAAAUGACGUUAGAAAAAAUUAAAAUCUCAAAUUCUUCAGAUUGGAAAACAAUAAAGGAAUCAUAUAAAGAAUGGAUCCCAUUUCAUAAUGACGAAGAAGUUAUUGAUAAAUAAUCAUUUGUGUAAAACCGUAUUUCCUGAAAAUUCAGAUUUUAUACCUUACGAAGUUAUAAAAGAGGAGGCGAUCAUUAUAGUUUACUUAUUUGUUGAUCUAAAAGGAGAUGAUGUUAUUUUUUUUUAAAUCGAGUGAAAUAGAUAGAUAGUCCUAUUGGUUCAUUCAUAAGAUAGAUACUCGUAUGAUUACUUUAAUGAAAAUCCGGAUCAACACAAAUAAAAAUCAAUCUCUAACAUUACGAUAAAGUAUAGUUCAUAGUUUAGUAAUCACAUCAAAUAAUUCUGUGAAAAAACUUAAUCGAAAAUGUUGUCUUCAUACACAGCACAAUGAAGAUGAUAUCAUUUUUUAUAUUGCUACAACUAGCAGGUAUUUAUUCAACUCACGAAAUCACGAAACAUAUAGACAAGUGGGUGAGCAGCAUAUUUACGAUUGGUGGAAAAAAUGGAGCCGAAACGUUCUCCGGAAUAUAUGGCGAUGAAUUGAAAGACUUCGAAUACAAUAUCAGCAACCAAGAAAGGAAUUUCCACACAAAAUGCAUCGUCUACUAUAUUCUUUUUCACACACUUGGGAGUACCUAUAAGGGAGCGAUAGGCCAACAAAUCGAUUGGAAAUUUUCUGAAAGUAAAAUUAGCACAUUCUUUGAAGGAUUCGAAUUUUUUAUUGAAACUAUGAUGAAGACUGGUGUGGGCAGCGACAUCGAAAAAUCUUCAACAAUUUCUGUAUCUGUACACGCAAAGUUCAAAAAUUUCACGUUAACUGCUUUGAGAUCAUACACAAGAGAUAAUUAUUUAAAAACCACGCACGAGUUUACCUACAGUAGUGUCGACUAUAACGGCACCGUUCAUUACUGGUAUCCUCAAAGAAAUCUAACCGCAGAGGAUGAAAACCAGCUAAAUGGAGGAAUACUAUCAAUGUUACCAAUCGUUUUACAAAAAAGUUUAAAGGACAACCAAACAUCCAUUCAGAAACUCGACGACCUUUUCCAGAAGUAUGAGAAACCAAGACAAGAAAUAAUUGCAAUACAUCCGGAUUUCUUGAGCAAUCCGCUCAAGUAUUACUACCUCAUACCGAAGAUUCCUUUUUUUUGUUUUAUUCUAAAACGUAUCGUUAUCCAUGGUUUAUCGAAUUUUGAAUGGUAUCGAGCUAACGGGAUGUCCGAAAUUUUCACACACACUUUGCUCAUAAGAAAUAUUCAAGGAAGUAUGACUUUAGAUUACAGAUCUGAAAAGGAAAACGACUUGGAAUUGAAUUUCCAAAUAGAUCACUUUAUCUUAUGGAAACAGCAUGAUACAGAUUGCGUUUAUGCCCGUGCAAGAUAUUACACCAUUACUCGAAGAAAAACAAAAACCUCGUUAAGCGGUCGCCAGUCAGAGGUGAUUAUGGAGCGACUACAAUCAGUUUUAGCUUCUGGAUUAUUAGGCCUGCCAUCGAAGGAGAUUGACCAAAUCUGUAAUGUAGAAACGCCGCUGGAUAAAAUUAGAAUCUCAAAUUCUUCAGAUUGGAAAACAAUAAAAGAAUCAUAUAUAGGAUGGAUCCCAUUUCAUGAUGAUGAAGAAGUGAUUCCAAAAAAACCAUUCGUGUGAAAUCGUAUUUUCUGAAAAUCCAGAUUUUUUACACGAAGAUAUAUCUCAUAAGAUCAGAUCGUCAUGAUAAUCAAAAAAAUCACCGAAAAUUCCAAUCGUUCAUGGAUUCUUUAGACUUACCCUAUAUUAAAAUGAACCAAUUACAAAAAUAAUACACCAAGUUGAUUAAUUUUUAAAAAAUUGGUUUCAUUAAAAUUCCUUCUUUUCCUGUUUGAAUCCAGAAAAAAAUUAACCAGUGUACCUAGCACGGCGAUAUGAUAAACAAAAUAAACCUCACCAAUUCACCACACUUCCGAAUACUUCGAUAAUUCAAAGGCACUUCUCCGGUAAUAAAUUACGACUUGAUCAGAAUGGCAAAUCGUAUUUAAACUUAUGAUGUCGUAACUGAUUGUAAUUAUUCAUGAAGGUAUGUACCUGUAACAGAAAAAAUUUAAAAAUAAUGUUAAUUGCGAAAGAAACUAGGUACCUGUAUAUAAAAUAUUAAGUAUAUUCACGCUGGAAAAUAUUUUUAAAAAAAACUGAAGAAUCAAAUUUGGCUAGAAUACUCAAUUUUUAAACUGAGUAAAGGCUCACACAUUCAUUCUUUUCUAAAUAUACCUAACCUAACCUAAUCUUUCAGUACACUUUCUCGUAUGAAAAUUUUCGACAAUUUAUUUUUUGAACUCCUAAAGGCAGAAGGACAUUUCAAUCCCACCUACUCAAUGUUGCAAAAUUCGAAUACUUGCCAACUAAUUUUGAACAAUCCAUACUUCAGUGUACCUCCCAGCAUCGUGCUCCUGACUGGCAUGGCAGAGGGAACACUGAAGGUUUAAAUAGGGAAAAAAUCAACUGAUAAUCAAUCUCAAACAGCAUUUCCGGAAACCAAAUUCAUUAGAUUUUAAAUUAGAAAAGAACACAGCUCCUUUAAAAUGGAGAAGAUAGUUCGUUACUCUAUCUGCUUCAUUUACAUUAAUCAAAUUCCAGAUUAUUUACAUAAAAAUCAAAAUUAAUUAUCGUUAUUACGAUCAAGUACCUCGAUAAUUUCACUGAUGAGGAAACUCAGUUGGUUUUUGGUUCGGUAGAUGAUCAUAAUAGACGCCUAAUAAGUCACUCCUUAUAGCAAACCUUUGACUAAAAUGUAUUUUUACAGUACAGUGAAGAUUUUAUUUCUCAUUUUAAUCCGAGUAAAAGAUAUUUUUUCUACGCAAGAAAUAUGUUUAGAAAAUGACAUCACAAUACAUCUAAACGAGAUGAUUACCAACAUAUCAGCAAUAGAAUGCAAAAUUGCAGACGAAAUGAUCUACACAAUCCCGGACUAUAUUUUAAAGGAAUUCGAAUACAACAUCAGUAACGAUGUACAAAGUUUUCAAACAAAUUUUUUUUUACAGGACAUUAAAUUCUCUACAGGUUCUGUACGAGAUGAAGACGACAAAACUUCACAAAUCGUCUGGAAAUUCCAUGAAAAUAAACUUAGCGUAACUUUCAAAGAACCGUGCAUCAAACUAAACGGUGUGACAAAGGUUAAUGGAUUUCAGGACGAGAAAUCCUCUACUUUUUACUUAGGAAGCCAAUGUUUUGGAAAUUUUACAAUUACUGCCACAAGAUCACACAUCAAAGAUGAAGUUUUGAACAACUCGUAUGAAAUCACAUACAGUAGUUUAGAGUACUAUUACGGAGAUUCCUGGGAUAAGAAAAAUCUAACAAAUGAAGGUAAAGAACAGCUAAAGCAAGAACUAAGAUCAGUGCUCCUGGCGGCUUUACACAAAAAUCUAAACAAUAAUCAAAACUUCUCUCGAGAAUUUGACAAACUUUUCCACCUGCAUGAGAUACGCAGAAAAGAAAUAAUUUCAAUACAUUCGGAUUUCGUGGACAGUGAACAAUCGUAUUACUACCUCAUACCGAAAAUCCCCUUUCUCUGUUUCAUUCUAAAACGCAUCGUUAUCUAUGGGCUAUCGAAUUUCGAAUCAUAUGCUGUUCGCAGAACACCAGAAAAUUUCAAGCGCACUUUGCUCGUAAGGAAUCUUCGAGGAAGCAUGACUUUGGAUUAUAGAACUGAAAACGAACCAGAUUUAGAAUUGGAUUUUCAAAUAGAUUGUCUUAUUUUAUCGAGAAGACAAGAAGCUGAUUGUAUUCAUGCGCAGGCAAAAUAUUACACCGUUACUCGAACAAAAACAAAUGUUACGUUGAGCUCUCAUCAGUCCGAGGUGAUGAUGAAUAGACUGGAGUCAGCCAUAGCUUCUGCAUUAUCAUCAUCGAAAAAAGUUGCGAAAUUUUGUGAUCUAGAAAUGCCUCUAGAAAAAAUCAAUGUUUCAAAGGAUUCCAAUUGGAGUACAAUAAAAGAAUCGUAUAAAAAGUGGAUUCCAUUCAAUGACGACGAAAUCGUCAAUAAAGGGCCUUCUGAAUACGUUAAAAUAAUGUGCUGAAAUACUCAGUCAUUAUUACAUUAGCCAAACAACGCUAAAACUACCCCAAAAUAUGGACUAGCGCUAAUACAUCGUGAAAUCAAUACUCAUUGGUGGCAUGUUUUUGAUGGAAUCUGAAUUCGAGAAAAUUUAAAAUUUGUAAUCCGGGAAUGAAUAGAUAAGUUAUACCUAAGUGGGUAAAAUAUUACGAAUGUAACGUACCUACAUAAUUUGUAAAUACACGAAUUUUUAAUUUU
Molecule: RNA transcript, 5674 nt
Organism: Planococcus citri (citrus mealybug)
Lineage: Eukaryota; Metazoa; Arthropoda; Insecta; Hemiptera; Pseudococcidae
Exons: 11
Source: RefSeq, a predicted model, not a curated record